GACGAACGCUGGCGGCGUGCCUAAUACAUGCAAGUUGAGCGCUGAAGGUUGGUACUUGUACCAACUGGAUGAGCAGCGAACGGAUGAGUAACGCGUGGGGAAUCUGCCUUUGAGCGGGGGACAACAUUUGGAAACGAAUGCUAAUACCGCAUAAAAACUUUAAACACAAGUUUUAAGUUUGAAAGAUGCAAUUGCAUCACUCAAAGAUGAUCCCGCGUUGUAUUAGCUAGUUGGUGAGGUAAAGGCUCACCAAGGCGAUGAUACAUAGCCGACCUGAGAGGGUGAUCGGCCACAUUGGGACUGAGACACGGCCCAAACUCCUACGGGAGGCAGCAGUAGGGAAUCUUCGGCAAUGGACGAAAGUCUGACCGAGCAACGCCGCGUGAGUGAAGAAGGGUUUCGGAUCGUAAAACUCUGUUGGUAGAGAAGAACGUUGGUGAGAGUGGAAAGCUCAUCAAGUGACGGUAACUACCCAGAAAGGGACGGCUAACUACGUG
Molecule: ribosomal RNA, 497 nt
Filed under: uncultured bacterium
Lineage: Bacteria
Description: partial 16S ribosomal RNA
Rfam family: Bacterial small subunit ribosomal RNA
Source: RNAcentral